RNAcentral lists this ribosomal RNA (498 nucleotides) under uncultured bacterium. Its description in RNAcentral is "partial 16S ribosomal RNA". It matches the Rfam family "Bacterial small subunit ribosomal RNA", at positions 28 to 507 of the family's 1533-position model. The record is from RNAcentral.
GACGAACGCUGGCGGCGUGCCUAAUACAUGCAAGUCGAACGAGAGCGACCGGUGCUUGCACUGGUCAAUCUAGUGGCGAACGGGUGAGUAACACGUGGGUAACCUGCCCAUCAGAGGGGGAUAACAUCCGGAAACGGAUGCUAAAACCGCAUAGGUCUUCGAACCGCAUGGUUUGAAGAGGAAAAGAGGCGCAAGCUUCUGCUGAUGGAUGGACCCGCGGUGCAUUAGCUAGUUGGUGAGGUAACGGCUCACCAAGGCCGUGAUGCAUAGCCGACCUGAGAGGGUGAUCGGCCACAUUGGGACUGAGACACGGCCCAAACUCCUACGGGAGGCAGCAGUAGGGAAUCUUCCGCAAUGGACGCAAGUCUGACGGAGCAACGCCGCGUGAGUGAAGAAGGUUUUCGGAUCGUAAAACUCUGUUGUUAGAGAAGAACAAGUGCUAGAGUAACUGUUAGCGCCUUGACGGUACCUAACCAGAAAGCCACGGCUAACUACGUG